RNAcentral lists this ribosomal RNA (459 nucleotides) under uncultured bacterium. RNAcentral describes it as "partial 16S ribosomal RNA". It matches the Rfam family "Bacterial small subunit ribosomal RNA", at positions 338 to 795 of the family's 1533-position model. The record is from RNAcentral.
CCUACGGGAGGCUGCAGUGAGGAAUAUUGGUCAAUGGGCGCUAGCCUGAACCAGCCAAGUAGCGUGAAGGAUGACUGCCCUACGGGUUGUAAACUUCUUUUAUAAGGGAAUAAAGUGCGGCACGUGUACUGCUUUGCAUGUACUUUAUGAAUAAGGAUCGGCUAACUCCGUGCCAGCAGCCGCGGUAAUACGGAGGAUUCGAGCGUUAUCCGGAUUUAUUGGGUUUAAAGGGUGCGCAGGCGGAAUGUCAAGUCAGCGGUAAAAUUUUGGGGCUCAACCCCGUCGUGCCGUUGAAACUGGCGUCCUUGAGUGAGCGAGAAGUAUGCGGAAUGCGUGGUGUAGCGGUGAAAUGCAUAGAUAUCACGAAGAACUCCGAUUGCGAAGGCAGCAUACCGGCGCUCAACUGACGCUCAUGCACGAAAGCGUGGGUAUCGAACAGGAUUAGAUACCCGGGUAGUC